RNAcentral lists this non-coding RNA (28 nucleotides) under Rattus norvegicus (Norway rat). The record is from RNAcentral. Lineage: Eukaryota; Metazoa; Chordata; Mammalia; Rodentia; Muridae.
UGGUCUCCUGCAGAACUGUUGGCCCCUA